GGCGGGGCGAGUCGGCCUCGGGCGCCGCGGGCUGUCUCCGCCAGUGGAUGUCGCUCCCGGGCUGCAGGGCCCGAGCCGAGCGCCCCGGGCUGCCGGCGCACUGGGCGAGGCGUGGGCCCCGCGGGCUGGAAGGGCCUGGCCGGCCGCUGCCUCUGCCGGCGGCGCGCCCCGAGAAACUCCUCGACUGCGGGGGGCACCGGCCUCGCCGCCAACAGGCCUCUGAGCUCCGGGCUUGGCAGGCUGGCGAGGUCUCCAGCACCGCUGCCGCCACCACCCCGCAACUGGCAGACCCUGGCCUCAGACAGACCCGGGUCCCAGUCGAGGCUCAGCCACGGCCAGCUUUGCAGGAGUGACCGUGCGUAGAGUCUCACAUUCUAGUCCCUACCGCCUCACCCGUACCUGGGGUACAGUAACGCCUAGCGUCACACGGGCUGGUGGGGCGCCCCAGAGGAGGCGACCGGGCCAAGCUCCUCCCAGCACUCGAUCAAUUCUGAUUCCAAGGCCACCGUUCUCAGGCCGCCAGACAAGAGAUGCUGUCAAUGGACACCAGACUCCCAGCCCCGUCCAGAACCCCAAAUGCAAUCCGUUCUUUCUGUUCCCUCCUCGCGCCCCUACCUGGGUAUGGAACUGCAGGGCGGUGCUCCCGGGGCGCAGCAGGAACGCGGCCCUGCCCUCUCCCCUCAGUGGUCCAGACCCCCACCCACCGUGGCCGCGCUCCAUAACAAUGGGACUGCACGGAGGUCAUUUUAGCUUUCUUAGCAUAUUGGGGAGCCCAGGACGCCCGAGGUGUACCUCGGCCUGCAGCUCAGGGCUCCCCCCAGCCCCCGCGGCCCCUCAUCGCAAGCUUCUCUGGCCAGCUGGCCGCUGUGGCGCUCAGCCCGGACCGCAGCCUCGCCGAGGCCCGCAAGUCUGGAGGCCGAGCGCCCCCUCCCUCCCGAUCCGAGGAACCGACCCGGAGGUGCGCAGGGCCGCUCUCGAGGUGCAAAAAGGGGGCUGGUCUGGCUUUACCAGCCCAAAGUCGGAAGCAGGAGCCCCGAAAGGGCAGCCCUUUGACUCCUUAGGGCCUUCUCCAGACCCCAAUCCUCUGCCACUCCCAAACUCACAGCACCCCGUGCCCUUGGGUUUCCACCUUUCGCCCUGUCCCAAAGCCUGUGACCCUUGGGCAGAAAGGGGAUGCUUCUGCCUCCUGGGCAGCCUGGGCCACCACCUUCUGAACCAGGCCGGACCCACCUUUAUGAUUUUCCUUGCAUCUUCCACCGGGCACACAUGCUGUGGUCUUCUGGCUCUUUCCAUCAUCACAGCCCCCAACCUACUUGGCAAACUCAUGCUCAGUCUUCAAGACCCAGCCCAGUCUCUUCUCCUUGGUGAAGCCCGCUAUGACCUUCUGGUGCCCUGAAUCGCCACUUGCCAGAGCCCCUCGCCAUCUGAACAGAAGAGCUUUCGUGCCAGACCAGACGAGACGGCCUGCCCACCAGCAGCCCCAGGCACAGGAGCGGGACAGCCUGGAGUUCAGCAGGAUCGAGCCCAGGAGCUGCAAGGGACCAGUGACCACCAGCUGACCUUUGUAAACGCCCAGACACCAGCACAGAGCCCUCUCAGGAAGCCCCAAGGCCGCCUCAUGUCUUUGUGGUCCCGAGGCAAGUCCGUGAUAAGAGAGUGGGCCUGGGGGGGUUACUUGGACGAGGCAGCCCCGUAUUUCUCACCAGGGCAGCUGGGCGGUGCCCACCUUCCGAGAGCCCCAGCAGCCCUCCACAUCCUCAAGUCCCCAGCCGUGGUCUCCAAGGAUGCUGGUCAUCUCUGAAACUCAGGAGCUCCAGGGCUGAGGCCGCCUAUGCUACGGAGCAGCCGUGCCCGGUACCCAGCUUGGCGCGACGUGUGAGCCGAAAUCAGCGCAUCCCACGUACCGGUGAUGCUGAGG
Long non-coding RNA from Balaenoptera ricei (Rice's whale), 1918 nucleotides. RefSeq lists it as uncharacterized. NCBI's taxonomy places the organism in Eukaryota, Metazoa, Chordata, Mammalia, Artiodactyla, Balaenopteridae. The record is from RefSeq and is a predicted model, not a curated record. The transcript is spliced from 2 exons.